AGGAGCCUACCUUUACUUAGCCUCACAACAUGGGCCUUAGCUUUAGCACUUAAUCUGCACAAAUACCUGGCUUAAGUGUUAUGACUGACUGGCUAUUCAACCAAACCAUACAAAUGACCAAUUCGGUAAGAAAGCAUGAACUUCAGUGUUGAACCAAAUCAACCAACCUCCUCAAUCCAAAUGGAGAGGAUAACAAAGGAAGCUGAGGAAGUCUGUUCUGGAGGCACCAUGACAAAGCACCAGACAGAAAGCAGUCACGUGUGGGGAGAUGAGCAGAGACACCACUUCUCAAGCACCUGAUUAUUCUUUCUCAGUAUUUAGAAGCAAAAAUUAUCCUUAAGAAAAACAACCGCAAACGCAACACAGGCUACACAGAUGAGAAAAUGGGGUGAACAUAAAGAUUUUUCAGUCAAUAGCAUACACUGAACAUUGCUUCUAUAUAAAGAGCAGUGUUUCUCAAAGUGUGGUCCUUGGAACAGCAGCAUCAGUAGCAUCGGCUUGCAGAGCUCAAACCAUUACACCAUUCAGAAGCUGGCUUUGGUAUUACUUCAAGUUAUUCAAAACAGUCACCACUUGCUGAGCCUCUGAUGUCUCAUCUGUUGAAUGGGUACAUUUUCUUCCUGAUCCUUCCACCUCUAAACUUGUCUAUUUCCAAGGAUCUAUGGCAUCCAGGCAUAUGAUUUCAAGAGAGAAGGCUGAAAAGGAAGGUGACUGGAAUAUUAAGAACUGUGAGAUAUUCUGAGGAAACUCUAAUUUGUAAAUUGGUAGAAAUGCCAGUAAUUUGUUGGGAAUUGAAGACCCUCUGUAUUCAAGAGCGAAGCUUGGCAGCUGUGCACUGUUGUUUUAUAAAUCAAUAUUACAUCUG
This 865-nucleotide long non-coding RNA is filed under the name Homo sapiens (human). Its description in RNAcentral is "novel transcript". The record is from RNAcentral. Lineage: Eukaryota; Metazoa; Chordata; Mammalia; Primates; Hominidae.